AUAAUGACUCAGACCGGACGCGAGCGUCCUUUUCUGCUGAGCUUCGAAGCGGGAGGUUGAGUGCGGUGCGUGGGCAAUCCGUCGCCAUCCGGUCCCGUGAUGAUGGGGGUUUUCCUUCCUAUGCUGAAUGGCCGUGUGAACUGUAGUGACUGCAUUGGAGUGGGAAAAACGUGAUGGGAUCCUCUGCUGCUGAUCUGUUUCUGAGAAGAUGGGAUAGGGUAUAGUGGCAAAUCGGGUUGAGUAGGUGAAGUGGACUGACAGAGAAGAGAUGGCAAUUUAAGCCAUGAAAGAAGAACCUCCUGUUCCACUGAGAAGCCUCAUAAGUGAAAGAAACAUGGAUAUGUACAGGUGUGCUUGCUUGGACGUGGAUAUUUGAAAGAUUGCCUUAAGAGAUUGGAUGAGUCUUCACGUUGAACAUCUUUUGAAGGUGUUGGUGACUUAAGGUUGAAGGAUUCCGGAUGCUGUCUGUUGGCCAGCCUGGACUUCAAGGUGCUCCUGAAAGUAGCUGAGAUGUCAAAGGUCCUGAAGUUGAAAUGUCAGGCACUUAUUGUUAACACUAAUAAAUACAUGAUUUUCACCAA
Long non-coding RNA from Sphaerodactylus townsendi, 581 nucleotides. RefSeq lists it as uncharacterized. The record is from RefSeq and is a predicted model, not a curated record. Lineage: Eukaryota; Metazoa; Chordata; Lepidosauria; Squamata; Sphaerodactylidae. The transcript has 5 exons.